RNAcentral lists this ribosomal RNA (497 nucleotides) under uncultured bacterium. RNAcentral's name for it is "partial 16S ribosomal RNA". It matches the Rfam family "Bacterial small subunit ribosomal RNA", at positions 28 to 507 of the family's 1533-position model. The record is from RNAcentral.
GAUGAACGCUGGCGGCGUGCCUAAUACAUGCAAGUCGAGCGAACGGACGAGAAGCUUGCUUCUCUGAUGUUAGCGGCGGACGGGUGAGUAACACGUGGAUAACCUACCUAUAAGACUGGGAUAACUUUGGGAAGCCGUAGCUAAUACCGGAUAAUAUUUUGAACCGCAUGGUUCAAAAGUGAAAGACGGUCUUGCUGUCACUUAUAGAUGGAUCCGCGCUGCAUUAGCUAGUUGGUAAGGUAACGGCUUACCAAGGCAACGAUGCAUAGCCGACCUGAGAGGGUGAUCGGCCACACUGGAACUGAGACACGGUCCAGACUCCUACGGGAGGCAGCAGUAGGGAAUCUUCCGCAAUGGGCGAAAGCCUGACGGAGCAACGCCGCGUGAGUGAUGAAGGUCUUCGGAUCGUAAAACUCUGUUAUUAGGGAAGAACAUAUGUGUAAGUAACUGUGCACAUCUUGACGGUACCUAGUCAGAAAGCCACGGCUAACUACGUG